GCUGCUAAUACCCGAUAUGCCAAAGGUGAAAAGUUUUUUCCCCCGGAAAAGAUCUCGCGUCCUAUUAUCUUUUUGGUGGGGUAAAACCGUACCAGGGCCACUAUGGGUCUCUGGUCUGAGAAGAAGAGCCCCCACACUGGAACUGACACACGGUCCACACUCCUACGGGAGGCAGCUGUGGGGAUUUUUCCGCAGGGGGCAAACCCCUGACGGAACAACCCCGCGGGGGGGAAAAAGGUUUUUGGAUUGUAAACCCCUUUUCUCAGGGAAAAAAAAAAUGACGGUACUUGAAGAAUCCCCCUCGGCUAACUCCGUGCCAGCCCCGCGGUAUACAGAGGAGGCAAGCGUUAUCCGGAAUUAUUGGGCGUAAAGUGUUCGUAGGCGGCUGUUCAAGUCUGCUGUCAAAGACCGAGGCUCCCCCUCGGGUCGGCGGUGGAAACUGGAUAGCUGUAGGUCGGUGGGGGAAGAAGGACCUCCCGUUGUAGCGAUAAAAUGCGAAAAUGUUGAGAAAAACACCGGUGGAAAAACCGCUCUGCUGGGCCAAUCCUGACGCUGAAGGACAACUGCUGGGGGAGCGAAGGGGAUAACCCCCCCAAAUUAAAAAAAAA
Molecule: ribosomal RNA, 608 nt
Filed under: Spirulina subsalsa NTRI14
Lineage: Bacteria; Bacillati; Cyanobacteriota; Cyanophyceae; Spirulinales; Spirulinaceae
Description: partial 16S ribosomal RNA
Rfam family: Bacterial small subunit ribosomal RNA
Source: RNAcentral